GAAGAAUUGAGUUGGCCUUUGACAGGAAGAGACACUAGGAGAUAUUGGUGAAGUCUGAAGAAGCAAUUGGUAAGAAACCAUUCAUGUCAACUUGGAACUGGAGCUGUCUGCAGUUAUGAUGAAUGUACAUAGCAGGAGGACUGUGUUCCCAGACUGCUGCAGAUAGACAAGCAAGAGUGAAGGAAAAGAGAACAAGGCAACUGUCAGGUACUGUGAUAAAGAAUGACACUGGAGAUAUGUCUUGCCUCCUUUUGUGUUCGGUGUGUGCCUGAGAUUAUUGGUUUUUUCUUCCACUGUGAUUAU
Molecule: long non-coding RNA, 303 nt
Filed under: Gallus gallus (chicken)
Lineage: Eukaryota; Metazoa; Chordata; Aves; Galliformes; Phasianidae
Source: RNAcentral